AGUGAACGCUGGCGGUAGGCCUAACACAUGCAAGUCGAACGGCAGCACAGUAAGAGCUUGCUCUUACGGGUGGCGAGUGGCGGACGGGUGAGGAAUACAUCGGAAUCUACUUUUUCGUGGGGGAUAAUGUAGGGAAACUUACGCUAAUACCGCAUACGACCUACGGGUGAAAGCAGGGGAUCUUCGGACCUUGCGCGAUUGAAUGAGCCGAUGUCGGAUUAGCUAGUUGGCGGGGUAAAGGCCCACCAAGGCGACGAUCCGUAGCUGGUCUGAGAGGAUGAUCAGCCACACUGGAACUGAGACACGGUCCAGACUCCUACGGGAGGCGGCAGUGGGGAAUAUUGGACAAUGGGCGCAAGCCUGAUCCAGCCAUACCGCGUGGGUGAAGAAGGCCUUCGGGUUGUAAAGCCCUUUUGUUGGGAAAGAAAAGCAGCAGGUUAAUACCCCGCUGUUCUGACGGUACCAAAAGAAUAAGCACCGGCUAACUUCGUG
Molecule: ribosomal RNA, 492 nt
Filed under: uncultured bacterium
Lineage: Bacteria
Description: partial 16S ribosomal RNA
Rfam family: Bacterial small subunit ribosomal RNA
Source: RNAcentral